RNAcentral lists this ribosomal RNA (237 nucleotides) under uncultured bacterium. RNAcentral's name for it is "partial 16S ribosomal RNA". It matches the Rfam family "Bacterial small subunit ribosomal RNA", at positions 100 to 333 of the family's 1533-position model. The record is from RNAcentral.
CGGAACGGGUGAGUAACGCGUGAGGAACCUGCCUCAAAGAGGGGGACAACAGUUGGAAACGACUGCUAAUACCGCAUAAGCCCACGGCUCGGCAUCGAGCAGAGGGAAAAGGAGCAAUCCGCUUUGAGAUGGCCUCGCGUCCGAUUAGCUAGUUGGUGAGGUAACGGCCCACCAAGGCGACGAUCGGUAGCCGGACUGGGAGGUUGAACGGCCACAUUGGGACUGAGACACGGCCAG